This 72-nucleotide non-coding RNA is filed under the name unclassified sequences. The record is from RNAcentral.
GCCCCACGCAGGCGCCACCUUCUCGAGGUGUGGGGUGAGCAACUGUGCCUUUGGCACAGGCUAAGAGCGCCA